CAUGAUUUUAUUAAAGUCUAGGAUGCUUAAGAUUAGAGAACAAACACUAUCAUCCAAAAGCAAAGAAGGGUCCCCAGAGUGAAAAUAAUUGCGAGGAUAAAGCCUAUUUUAGCAGAAAGGCUCCCUACAAAACCACCUCUAAAAUAAACAUCUGGGCAAGCGACUACAUCUAAUUUCAGAGCUGGGAAAGAGGCUGGCACACUCCUGGGUUGUGCCUGUGCUCGAGACGUUGGAAAACGUUCAAGCAGGGCCCUCAGGGAAGCUCGCGGUGCACCUGUGAUGCUGAGAUAAGAUGCCAAGUGUGGCUGCAGUGGGGACUCUCUCGAUGAGCUUCGCCCUCCUGAUUUCCCUUGGCUCAUCUUCAGACUGACAGUGAUGCCCGACCUCCCCAUCGAGAGUGCACCUGGGGAGAAGAGGCGACAGUCUUGAUUCAAAGUAACAAUCGCUUAGGCAAACAAGGCGUCUGGAGCCUUGCCUGCUACCAGGAGAGGGAGGUGGAGGGGCCCCGGGGAGGCUGGGGAUCCCGGCCCUGGGUGUGAGGAGCUCCCGUCUUGGUGAGCUCUGCUCUGUCAGUCCAGAGAGAGGCUUCUUCCUCCAACACGUGCUUUAUCUCAGCAGCAGCAAAAGCCCUGAUCUUGUAACCGCACGUCUUCAUCUGCCUUAGGGAGGCCCCGCCCUUACUGAGGCUGAGAUGCAGGCUGCAUUCUGCCAGGUCACAUCCCCUCCUAAUCUUUUCAGGACAUUUUAAUCUGCAGUGACUUUGAAAUGAGAAGGAGGGUCAGGAUCCCAUCACAACUCCAGGAUGGAAAAAGGUGAAUAGAGAGGUUUAAGAACCUGAUUGGUAUCCGUGAGGAUGUAGGUUCGAUCCCUGGCCUCACUCAGUGGGUUAAGGAUCUGGUGUUGCUUUGGCUGUGGUGUAGGCCGGCCGCUGCGGCUCCAAUUGGGAACCUCCGUAGGCCGCAGGUUCGGCCCUAAAAAGAAAAAAAUUAAUAAUGAGGGGAUGGGUGCCAUUGGCUGAAGCUGCGGAUGACAAAGUAGAAACCUGCCUGAGUUUCAACUCGGCGGCAGCUGAGCAGAAGGCACCUUUGCUCUUGAGGGACUGGCACACACGCUUGACUCUGAUCCUAAUCUAAUAUCCCCUGCCAGCCGACCUCAGACCCCAGGUUAACCAGGUCCACUGGGUGACAGCCCCGCCCUGGACCCAUAAUCCUCUGAGGCUGAGAGCAAACUUCGAGCCAGUGCUGACAGGUCGCCGCCUGGGACAACACACACCAACCAGAGAGCCCAAAGGGUAACUCCUGGUUCCUCCGUUAAUUUCGUUUUUGGGGCAAGAGCCGUAUUUUGUUAUAAUCCACCAGGAUUUCUGUCAUCUCUCAUGGCGCACAGUAGCAAUGUAAGCAAAUUCGUUUUGACAAACUUUCCAUUUUUAUUCUAUUUAAUAGCAACACCUUUCUUUUAUCUUGUUCAAAGAAUCAUCCCAGAUUCUCUAGGUUUUCAUGGAGACAACACAUUGAAUUGAUAUUUUUGAUUGAAACAAAGACGUUGGAAGCAAAUUUAAAUGAGACUUGUGGUUUUAUACGGCGGCAGCGGCUGUGUAACAGUUGAUAGGUUAGCGUCCCUUUAUUUUUCUUCAAAGGAAAAAAAUUCCAAUUGAAUGAUGCUUUGAAAAUAACUAACCGAAAGCAUGAGGGGCUUGUUUAGAUAGUUGAGGUGACAACAGAAAGUCAAGACUACACAUGUUCAUGUGUUUCCUCGGGAAGAAAAUCUCCAAUUUAUAUAGACUAGGGUGCUGCUGUCAUUUCCUCAGACAUGAUGCGCCACGAUGGAAAAGAUGGCUUUUCUUAAGGAAAUAUUAGAUGUAAUUUUUUUAAAAAAAAAAUGAGUAUAAAAAGUGACAUUUUUUUCCUUUCUCAAGGAUUUUCUCCGUAUCUCUUCAAAGUUUUAUUAUCUGAAGUUGACGUUUUCAACGCUGCUUGAGCAUGCUCAUCUUUCCAGCAGGACUUGGAGAUAUGACAGGGGUGUGUCUUCAGGACACAAGGAUUUUUUUUUCCCCCACCCAUGGCACAUGGGUGCGCCACAGCGGCCACAACGCCAGACCCUUAACCCAUUGCGCCAGCUGGAAGUUAAACCCUCUCCACCACCCAGACAACACUGGGUCCUUAACCUGGUGCACCACAGCGGGAACUCCCAGGACACAAGAAUCCUUCUUCUCCCGGUGGCUCCUACACGUGCUGUUUACUCCGCUCGUGUCCUCAUCUCAGCACCCUGUCCUCAGUCUGGGCUCCAUGCUGUGCCCUCUCAUCUGAACCCUUUCCCUCCCCUUCCCUGAGACGGCUUCCUUCCCGAUCUCGGCACAUUUCUCCCUGUUCACCAUCUUUUAAGAUUAAUCACAGAGAGUGCCCGUCAUGGCGCGGUGAAAACGAAACCGACUAGGAACCACGAGGUGUCGGGUUCGAUCCCCGGCCUUGCUCAGUGGGUUCAGGAUCCGGCGUUGCGUGAGCUGUGGUGUAGGUUGCAGACCAUGGCUCAGAUCUGGCGUUGCUGUGGCUGUGGUGUAGGCCGGCAGCCACAGCUCUGAUUCGACCCUGAGCCUGGGAACCUCCAUAUGCCAUGGGUGUGGCCCUAAACAAACAAACAAACAGACAAACAAAAAGAUGAAUCCCAGAUUACAGUGUUGAUGGGCAGCCCAAGUUCCCAAAACAGGGCGCGCCCAGAUCAAGGUAGAAAAUUGAUCGAAUUGGGUGGCCGAGAUCAAGUGGAUUUUGUGCAGCAACAGGCACGUGUCCCUCAGGCCCUCCUCCAGCAGUGUCAGCGCUGGAGCUCCGUGAUAAAACCAGGAGUGAGCAAAAAAGUCCUCCAAGCGAGGAGUCAAAUCGCUGUCACGGACCCCACAUAACUUUAUGCCUUUGAUUAAAUUUAACCAACAGUUAUGGAGCAUUUUCUACCUGUCAGACGCUGUCCUGGGUGGUGAGAAGCCUGAGAUGAAUAAUUUAGCUCCCUCACCUUCUUCCAGAAAGGAUCUGAGGCAGCUGGCAGCAGAAACAUAUAAAAUAAAUGGCCACAUAUGGGUUUUUAAACUGGGCAAAGCCAAUAGAAAUUAAAAUAGGUCACAUCCAGGGGGAAAAAGCGCCUGGAUCCAUGGCCAAGGACAGCCUUGGUAAUGGUGACACUUGAGCUGUGAGUCUGACGCCAAGCGCGCUCAGCGGCCACGGGGAGCGGGGGACGCGGCCAGAGACGGGUUUCCGUCGUGGAAACAGAGAGAAGGUGCAGUUACUCGAGGGGACGAAGCUGAAGAAGACGUGCUUCCUAAUCGCGAGGAGUUCGUAAUCCAGCCGCAGAGACGGAGCAUCUGCAGACAGAGCUGUGUUAUGACAAGUCUGCAGCAAGCGCUAAGGGGAGGCAGAGAGGGAAGCGGUUUCCUGGGCUUGAGAAGGAGAGGCUGCUGUCUGAACAGAGACGGAGGAGGUGCCCGCGGGUGAGACCGAGGCACCGAGUGGGGAGACUUCAGAGGAGCAGCCCGCAGCUCCGAGCACCUAAAAGUUGCCUCCAGGGCUUGUGGAGAGGCUCUGAGUCAGCAGGGCUGGGGCUUUGGGCACGCACACUCCAGAAGGCCAGGUCUAGGGCUGAGGGCCGGACUCGGAGAAAGGCGGGGGGAGAUUCUCGCCGCGUUGCACGGUGUCCAAGAGUGAGCGAUGAGGUUGGGAAGCAGGCUGGACCCGCUCGGGGUGGGCCUGGGAUGCCAGGUAGAAACUUGGACCUCGUGGAUGACGGGGAAGCGCGGCAGGCAUGAUGCUAUAUCGGAUGUGUGUGUGUGUGUGUGUGUGUGUGUGUGUGUGUGUGUGCGCCUGGGUUUUACUUUCUCCUGAGCACAAAUGCAGCAGCGAGAGGAUGAGAAGAGGGAAGAAAGAGACCAGGACAGGGAACCAACCACAAAUGUUGCAGGGUCCAAAAAUCAGAGCGGAUCGGAGUGGGCUUAGGGUGGCGGCAGGGGAAGGGGAGAAGCUGAGCACCUUUCCGCAGGGAGUGUGACCCGUCACUGGAUUAUUCGCCGCAGGUUUUCUUUUCUGGUUCAUCUGCUGUUUUUGUGACGCACCUACUCUGAUUUUACCCCAGCUUCUGCUCUCUGGUGUCUGGCCUAAACCAACGAGCUGUCCCAUGAACUGCAGGGGAGCAGGUCCUUGCUGGGCUUGGCCAGGAGCCUUGGCGGACGGUGGGUGGCUUUGGCAAACCGGGAGGGACACUCAUUCCCUGGCGAGUAGGAAGGCAGUCUCCUGUGGUGAACUCACAUCGGGGAGCUGUGUGGUGCACACAGUUUUGGAGUUUCCCUUUUUUGUCUUUUUAGGGCCACAUCUGCGGCUUAUGGAUGUUCCCAGGCUAGGAGUCGAACUGGCACUGCCCCUGCUGGCCUGCACCACAGCCGCAGCAACAUGGGAUCCUUAACCUACAGAGCAAGGCCAAGGAUCGGACCUGCGUCCUCAUGGAUACUAAUGGGGUUCGUUAUGGCUAAGUCACAACAGGAACUCCCUGGGGUUUCCUUUUAUAUGUUUACACAUUUCUAAAACUCUGUUUUGGAGUUCCCUGGUGGCUCAGCCAAUUAAAGACCCAGCAGUUAUUAUCACUGCUGUAGCCCAGGUUACAGCUGUAGCUCAGGUUCUAUCCCUGGCCUGGGAACUUCCAAAUACCACAGUCCAGCCAAAAAACCAAAAAAACCAAAAUGCCAAACACCCCCCUCCCCCCGCCGCCACCAACUGUCUUUUUAGAGACAAAAUGGAGAUGAUAGCCAUGAAAUCCUCAAAACCAGCUACUCGGGUUCUGCAGUUUCAAGAUUUUUGUAACCUUUGUUCUGCUACAGUGAGGUAGGAUUGACAAAUAAAACUGCACCUGUUUGCAGUGUACAGCGAGAUGAUUUGACACGUGCGUUUGUGACAUGAUCACCGCAAUUAGCAUUGCCACACAUCCACUCCCCAGAACCUUCUUUUGGUGGUGAUAACACUGCAGCUUUACUUUCUUGGCAACCUUCAAGUAAACAGCACAGUCUUAACUCCAGUCACCAAGCUGAACACGAGCUCUCCAGAGCUACUCGUCUCCUAACUGCAGACGCGUACCCUGCGACCAGCUCCUCCCUCUCCCCCCUUCCUGACCCCUGGUUACCUCCAUUCUACUCUCUUUCUAGAAUCCAACUUUUUUAGACUUCUUGUAUGCGUGAAACGCUACAGUAUUUGUCUUUCUCUGUCCAACUAAUUUCACUUAGCAUAAUGUCCUCUAGGUUUGUCCGGGUCAUUGGGAAUGGCCCUCUUUCCUUCCUUCUCAGGGCUAAAUAAUACUCCAUUCUAUACAUACCACGUCUUCUCUGAGUUCCUGCCGUGGCGCAGUGGUUAACGAAUUUGACUAGGGACCAAGAGGUUGUGGGUUGGAUCCCUGGCCUUGCUCAGUGGGUUAGGGAUCCAGCGUUGCCAUGAGCUGUGGUGUAGGUCGCAGAUGCGGCUCGGAUCCCGCAUUGCUGUGGCUGGGGUGUAGGCCAGCGGCUACAGCUCCGAUUCA
This 5541-nucleotide long non-coding RNA is filed under the name Sus scrofa (pig). Its description in RNAcentral is "lncRNA (ENSSSCG00015052043.1)". The record is from RNAcentral. Lineage: Eukaryota; Metazoa; Chordata; Mammalia; Artiodactyla; Suidae.